CUGCAGGGAAUGAUUAUACUCACCAGAACAACUACAUUAAGCUGUAAAUGUUCUGGUGACUAUAGUGUCCCUUUAAUGCAAAGUUGUAAUUGUUAUAAGGCCAUGUUAAAAAGCUAAAAUGCAGAUUGUCUAAGUGGGAUAUUUAUGUACGUUUAUCACAAAUACAAGAGUUAAUACACAUGUUGAUAGAACUAAUUAACGCAUUCACCACCGAGCUCUUUUU
This is a non-coding RNA of Pelobates cultripes (western spadefoot toad), 223 nucleotides long. NCBI's taxonomy places the organism in Eukaryota, Metazoa, Chordata, Amphibia, Anura, Pelobatidae. The record is from the annotation of a GenBank genome assembly.